Molecule: ribosomal RNA, 456 nt
Filed under: Pycnococcus provasolii
Lineage: Eukaryota; Viridiplantae; Chlorophyta; Pseudoscourfieldiophyceae; Pseudoscourfieldiales; Pycnococcaceae
Description: partial Bacterial small subunit ribosomal RNA
Rfam family: Bacterial small subunit ribosomal RNA
Source: RNAcentral
GAUGUUGGGUUAAGUCCCGCAACGAGCGCAACCCUUGUCAUUAGUUGCUACGAAAGGGCACUCUAAUGAGACUGCCGGUGACAAACCGGAGGAAGGUGGGGAUGACGUCAGGUCAUCAUGGCCCUUAUGGGUAGGGCUACACACGUCAUACAAUGGCUGGUACAAAGGGUUGCCAACCCGCGAGGGGGAGCUAAUCCCAUAAAACCAGUCGUAGUCCGGAUCGCAGUCUGCAACUCGACUGCGUGAAGUCGGAAUCGCUAGUAAUCGUGGAUCAGCAUGCCACGGUGAAUACGUUCCCGGGCCUUGUACACACCGCCCGUCACGUCACGAAAGUCGGCAACACCCGAAGCCGGUGGCCCAACCCUUGUGGAGGGAGCCGUCGAAGGUGGGAUCGGUAAUUAGGACUAAGUCGUAACAAGGUAGCCGUACCGGAAGGUGCGGCUGGAUCACCUCCUU